RNAcentral lists this long non-coding RNA (14823 nucleotides) under Gossypium barbadense (sea-island cotton). Its description in RNAcentral is "long non-coding RNA (GBAR_LNC007565)". The record is from RNAcentral. Lineage: Eukaryota; Viridiplantae; Streptophyta; Magnoliopsida; Malvales; Malvaceae.
UCCAAAAGGGAAUCUUUUUUUUUUUAUCUUUAUAACGUAUUUUGUUAUAUACUGUAUCAAAAAGAAAAUAAAUAAUGAAAAGAAAAUUAAAAUAUCACCUCUGUUCUUCUGUUCUUUCCUUUGAUUUUUUUGUUUUUUUGUAUAUAUUAGUAAAAAAUGUCGUUACAUUUUAGAAAAAGAAGGGGUUUUUAUAACCCUUUGUUACAUUUUAGGAAAAGAAAUCAUUUGAUUUCUUUCCAAAUCUGUUUCUUGGUUGCUGUUGGUUUUCUCUUCCUUUUUGCAGGUAUCUAGCGAGGAAAUCAGUGGGCCAGGAUGAUUAGGCCCUGAUGACGACGGUGCUGACGCUAAUCUGUGUUUUAUUCGACUUCAACUACGGCCAAAUUUGAGGCCUGGAAUCACGGCGUCGAUGAGGGUAGAUGGAACGACCGAGGUUGAAGAGGUGUGACUGAUGGGGUGCUCACGACGUGAAGCUUCUGGAAACCCUAGGGUUUCCAGAUUCUGUUUAGGCAUUGGGCCUUUUUUAGGUUGGGUCUUGUUUGGGUUUGGGUGUAACAGGUUAAUAGAUUUUAGGCCAAAGGUUUAGGCUAAUUGGGUUGUAACUGGGUACUGGGUUUUAGGUAGUUUAGCUGGGUUACGAGUUAAUGGAUUUUGGGCUAUAGUAUUGGGUUUGUAAACUGGACUGUACAAAAACUAUUUUUUUUGUUUGUAUUUGUUAAUGUAUGGGCCCGGGUAAAUUUGGUUUGCUACAGCUGCCCCUCUUUGCUCAUUUCUAUAUGAUAGGAAUCGAGAAAAGACUAUAAAAGGACCAAAUUUGCCCGGUCUGGCUAAGUCUCAAAAUCUUGAUCCUCAUCUUCCCCAAAGGUAGUCUGAUGUCUUCAGGAGUGUCAAAUUGGCUAUCUUCAACUUGCUUCUUGAAAACUCAAGAACACCAAUCUAUUAUUCUCGAUCUGUUCUCUGCCAAUACAGAGACGCCAAAUCUGCUAACUUCGAUCUGCUCUCUGCCAAUACAAAGACGCCAAAUCAUCUUAGAUUUGCUUCAACGUAAACACAUGAAAGCCAAAUCAGCUAUGUCUUAGAUCUGUUCUCUGCCGAAUACAGAGAUGCCAAAUAUGUCAUCUUUGAUUUGCUCUCUGCCAAUACAGAGAUACUAAAUCUGCUAUCUUCGAUCUGCUCUCUGCCAAUACAGAGAUGCCAAAUCAUCUUAGACUUGCUUCAAUGUAAACACGUGGAAGCCAAAUCAACUAUGUCUUCGAUCUGCUCUCCGCCGAAUACAGAGAUGCCAAAUCUACUAUCUUUGAUCUGCUCUCUGCCAAUACAGAGAUGCCAAAUCUGUUGUCUUCGAUAUGCUCUCUGCCAAUACAGAGAUGUCAAAUCUGGUAUAUUUGAUCUGCUCUCCGCCAAUACAGAGAUGUCAAAUCAUCUUAGAUUUGCUUUAACGUAAACGCGUGAAAGCCAAAUCAGCUAUGUCUUCGAUCUGUUCCCUGCCAAUACAGAGAUGCCAAAUCUGUUGUCUUGGAUCUGCUUCGAUGUAAACACAUGAAGGUCAGAUCUGCUAUGCUUUGGCCUGUUACCCUACUGCUUAGAGGCUAAGGCGUAUCGAUCUUCAUUGUCCCUUGAAUGACAUGACCUGUAAAAUGUGUAUGAGUUCAUGCCUAAUAAUUAGGAUGCUAUGAUCGAAAUGAGUCAAAUGCUCCUAAUUAAAUCUAUUGUAAUGCAAAAUGUUUAUGAAUAUGACCCCUAUUCCAGACGUCACUACUCAUUCCUUCGUCAAAGCUCUUCUUUAUUUCUUGCGCAGUAUCAUUCUUACUCAACCCAUGGGUUUCUACCAUUCUUCAAAUGCUAUGACCCAUCAGACUAUUUGUAAGAUGAUCUUCUCUUAGGAUCGAAUCGUUUGAUUUGUUCAAUCAUCAUUUUGGACUUAAAAAAGGACUUCCCUCGAGUCUUACGUGAAUUCCUUGAACAAUUGUUCUAUUUUAGUUUCUUGUAUUAUCUAGAAAUCUCCAGAGUAAUAAGCAAAACCUCAUUUGUGAAAGUCAUUUAGUUCAUCAAUCAUUAUUUAAUGCAACACACUUUAAGAAUAAUGGAAGAUGAAUUCAAUCUUGAGAAUAAUCAGAUUUGAAUGAAUUUGUCAAAAAUACAUAAGGAAUUAAUCUGAAAGCUUCUCUUUGAGAAGAAAAAAAAUCUAAAGAUAGCAAACAGGACAAAAGUUAGAUGCCCUAGAUAUCGCAGCUUGAGCGUUUAUAUGCCAAUUCCAUGAAGACUUUCUUGAAUUCAACAUGUGUUUAAAAGAUCCAAAGUACUUUAUUGAUGCCCCGAUAUGCAACGCGCUUCGCUCUUCCUUGAAUCAGAUAUAGCAAGAUUACCGUGUGCUUUUCAAAAUUUAAGCUGCCCUUUCGGGUUUUCAACUCAAAACCCCUUUGGUCACAAGGCGCCCUUUUCGGGUUUUCACCUUGGCCUCUCCAUUUUUUUUUCUUUUUUCUUUUUUUCUUUUCUUUUCUUUUCUUUUGAAAUCUCAAGGCGCCCUUUACGGGUUUUCACCUUGGAUUCUCCUUUCCUUUAGACAAAGUAAUUUUUGACUGAGUUUGAAUUCACUGGAUUGGGUAAACUUUUCCCAUCCAUUUCUGUCAAAAUCAAUGCUCCUCCAGAGAAAGCCUUCUUCACAACAUAUGGCCCUUCCCAAUUUGGCAUUCAUUUUCCUCUGAAGUCCUUCUAAAUAGGAAGGAUCUUUUUUAGCACAAGGUCCUCUUCACGAAACUCUAUUGGACGAACCUUCUUGUCAGAAGCUCGCAUCAUUCGCUUCUGAUACAUCUGACCAUGGCGAAUAGCCUUUAGCCUCUUCUCUUCAAUCAAGUUCAAUUGGUCAUAUCGCGAUUGAAUCCACUCUGCCUCAUCCAACUUUAUCUCUAACAAGACUCGGAGAGACGGUAUUUCAACUUCAAUAGGUAACAUUGCCUCCAUCCCAUAAACCAGCGAGAAAGGAAUUGCCCCAGUAGAGGUUCUGACAAACAUUCUAUAGGCUAAGAGUGCAAACGGUAACUUCUCAUGCCAAUCUCUAUAGGUUUCAGUCAUUUUCCCCACUAUCUUCUUGAUAUUUUUGUUAGCAGCCUCCACUGCCCUAUUCAUCUUUAGGCGAUAUGGAGAUGAAUUAUGAUGCUUAAUCUUAAACUGACUACAGACUUCUGCUAUCAUUUUGUUGUUCAAGUUUAAUGCAUUGUCUGAUAUAAUCCUCUCAGACAUCCCAUUUCGACAAAUAAUCUCUUUCUUCAAGAAACGACUUACAGCCGACUUAGUAACAUUUGCAUAAGAAGCAGCCUCUACCCACUUUGUGAGAUCCAUUUGAAGCUUUUGGCGAUAUUGGCCCAAUGAAAUCCAUGCCCCACAUGGAAAAAGGCCAUGGAGACGUCAUAACAUGUAGAGAUGAAGGUGGCACAUGAAUCUUAUCACCAUAAAUCUGACAUUUAUGGCAUUUCUUAGCAUAAUUGAUACAAUCCCCCUCCAUAGUAGACCAAUAAUAUCCAAACCUCAUGAUUUGUCUAGCCAUCGUGAAACCAUUAGCGUGCGUCCCACAAACACCCUCAUGAACUUCCUCCAAGAUAAACUUAGCUUCCACGGUGUCAACGCAUCUCAACAAUACAUGGUCCUUUCUUCUUUUGUACAAGAUGUCCCCAUCCAAAACAUAAUCACAAGCUAAUCUCCUUAAAGUUCACUUGUCAUUUUCAGUCGCCUAUUCUGGAUAUUUACGAUCUCUUACAUAUCGCAAUAUAUCCAAAUACCAAGGGUUAUCAUCCUUUUUUUCUUCUUCGAUGUUACAACAAUGAGCUGGAGCCUCAAAGAUACUCAUCUGAAUAGCUCUCAUCUCCUCCUCUCUAUUUACUUUGAUCAUUGAAGCCAAAGUUGCCAGAGCAUCUGCCAUCUGGUUUUCGUCUCGUGGGAUAUAAUUGAAAGUGAUAUCAUCAAACUCCUCAAGUAAUCCCAAAACUAUCUUUCGAUAAUUGAUCAAUUUAGGAUCCCUUGUUUCCCAUUUAUCUCUAAGCUGGUAAAUAACCAACGCAUAGUCUCCAUAUACUUCCAAGGUUCUUAUUCCUCGCUCUAUAGCCGCUCGGAGUCCCAUAAUGCAUGCUUCAUACUCGGCCAUAUUAUUUGUGCAAUCAAAAUCUAAUUUGCAUGUAAACGGAUAAUAAUCGCCAUUUGGGGAUAUCAAGACUUCCCCAAUUCCAUUUCCCACUGCAUUGGAUGCCCCAUCGAAGCUCAUCUUCCAAAGACCAUCUUCUGUAGUUGUUACACACAUCAACUCUUCAUUUGGGAAAUCAAAAUUCAACGGCUCAUAGUCCUCUAGAGCUCUACUAGCCAGAAAAUCCGCUAUCGCACUUCCUUUUAUAGCCUUUUGACUCACAUAGACUAUGUCGAACUCUGAAAGCAAAAUUUGCCAUCUUGUCAUUCUCCCAUUCAAUGCUGUUGACUCCAUCAUAUACUUCAAAGGAUCAAGUUUUGAAAUGAGCCAAGUAGUAUGAUACAACAUGUACUAUCUUAACCUUCGAGUCGUCCAAAUUAAAGCACAACACAAUUUAUCAAUUGGCGAAUAUCUCAUCUCAUAUUCUGUGAAUUUCUUGCAAAAGUAGUAUAUUGCCUUCUCCUUUCUUCUCAACUCGUCAUGUUGACCAAGCACACAUCCCAUGGAAUUGCUGAAUACUGAUAAGUACAGUAUUAGUGGUCUAUCUGGACUGGGCGGAGAUAACACCGGAGCAUUCAACAAGUACUGUUUGACCUUUUCAAAAGCAUUCUGGCAUUCCUCAUCCCAAGUACCUUGAUUGUGCUUUCUAAGUAGGCGAAAGAUGGGAUUAACUUCUCAGUUAAUUGUGAAAUAAAUCGAGUGAUGUAAUUCAGUCUUCCUAGAAAUCCUCAAACUUUCUUCUGAAUUUAUGGUGGAGGUAAUUCUUGUAUGGCUCUGACCUUGUCUGAGUCAACUUCAAUUCCCUUUUCACUAACUACGAAGCCUAAUAACUUUCCCGAUCUAGCUCUAAAUGUACACUUUACUGGAUUGAGCUUCAACUGAAACUUUCUCAAUCUCUAAAACAAUCUUCUCAAGACCUCAAUGUGCUCCUUUUCUGUUCACAACUUGGCAAUCAUAUCAUCAACAUACACCUCAAUAUCCUUAUGCAUCAUGUCGUGGAACAGGUUCACCAUGGCCCUUUGGUAUGUUGCCCCUGCAUUCUUUAACCCAAAAGGCAUUACCUUGUAGCAAAAGGCACCCCACAAAGUUAUGAAGGUGGUUUUUUCCAUGUCCUCGGGAUGCAUCUUUAUCUGAUUGUACCCUGAGAAACCAUCCAUGAAGGAGAACAACGAAUAUCCCGUUGUAUUGUCUACCAAUGUGUCUAUGUGUGGUAGAGGGAAAUUAUCUUUGGGGCUAGCUUUAUUCAGAUCUCUGUAAUCAACACACAUCCGUACCUUCUCAUCUUUCUUAGGAACUGGUACAAUGUUAGCUACCAUUCAGAGUACUUCACCUCUUGCAAGAAUCUUGCAUCGAACUGCUUCUUGACUUCAUCCUUUAUUUUCAACACGAUAUCUGACCUCAUUCUUCGCAACUUCUGCUGGACUGGCUUACAAUCCUGUCUUAUUGGGAGACGAUGCACCACAAUAUCAGUAUUUAAACCUGGCAUAUCUUGAUAGACCAUACGAAGAUAUCCUUGAAAUCACGAAGCAACUGAAUCAAUCUUUGCCUUGUGUCUUCAUCAAUAUGCGUGCCAAUUUUCACCUCCUUUCCUUCCUCUAGGGCUACAUUCUCUAUUGCCUCUUUCUCAUGUGGCAUUAUUUUUUUUCCUCUUGUUUUACCAUCCUCAAAAGAUCUAGAGACACAUCACAAUCUUGGACAUCUUCAAAAUCUUGAGAUUCCUCUAAACACAUGUCUUGCUCGUGAGAGAAAUCAGGAUUUGAUAUAUCAGUGCUCAUGUCAUUAAUAUCUAAGGAUCUCAGAAGUAUAAAGAAUAUACAAAGAAUGAAUGAAUUUAUUUAUGUACUAAGAAUGAAAGAAUAAGAAUUAUCAAAAUUUGAUGGAAUAUUGAUUGAUAAAAAUGAAGCAAUACUCGUUUGAAUUAAUAAAAGUUAUGUUUUAUUUAAAAAAUGAUAAAUGAUCAUAAGCCUCUUUCACAAAUGUAAUCCUAUUACUCCUAGGCUCUAGAGUAAAAGAAUGUUUAAGAAUUACUCUGAACAAUUCCUAAAGACUACAGGAAGUUCUUCCGCAGUCCAAUUGUUUAGAAAGCUUCCCGAUUCGUAAGGGCGAAUACCCUCAAGGUUCCUUUGCUCUGAUCCUUCGUCAUGCGCAACAUUAAUCUGAUGACUCUCCUCUUCAAGUAAUCCUCUUGAUAUGAAGGUUUUGGAUAUAUGAGGGAAUGUCAUCGAUUCCCACCCCACUUCUUUUCCAUCUAAACGUGCCCUUCUCCUUUCUUGGCACUUCUUAAUGUCUUUCCUCUUUUGCUUAUAGUCUGGUUUGAAACCCAAACCAAAGCGGUCUUUUUUCUCAAUCAACUUUGGGAUCUGAGUCCCUCCUUGUAGAUACUUUCCUAAACCUCUUCCUAGUAAGGCUCCCAUUCCCGCCAUCAUUUGUAGAGUCAUCCUUGUAGCUCUUGCCAUCUUUGGUACUGGUAGCUCACUUCCUUCUGAAAUGAAAGUUGCAUUUACGAAUUCUAAAGAGCGAAAGGAACACUCAAUAGGUUCUUCGUUUGUUUCGACAUAAAGGGCCUUGCUAGUGACUGCGGCUAUAAUAUCCUCUUUCGCAUUGAUGGUUACCAACCGUCCCUCCGUCACUAGCUUCAAUUUCUGGUGCAACGAUGAGGGCACCGCUCCUGCUGAAUGUAUCAACGGUCUUCCCAAUAAACAAUUAUAGGAGGGCUUGAUAUCCAUCACUAAGAAGUCCACUUCGUAUAUGCUCAUCCUUCCCAUCACCUUCCUUUCUGUUUUGUCAAACGCUCUUACCACAUUUUGGCAUGUUUUCAUGUAAGAAUCAUCAAUAGGUAAUCUGUUCAAAGUAGACAGGGGUAAAACAUUCAAACCUAAUCCAUUGUCGACAAACACACUUGGGAGAGUGCACCCCUUGCAUCGAGUAGUAAUGUGCAAGGCCUUAGUUGACCCCCUGCCCCCCGGUGGGAUUUCAUCAUCAUUAAAAUAGAUGAAAUUAUCUGCGCUAAUGUUAUUCACCAACCGAUCCAGCUUGUUAACAGAUAUGUCAUGGGUGACAUAAUCUCGUUAAGCACCUUCAUCAAUGCUUCCCUAUGCGCCUCAGAACUCAAAAGUAGAGCCAAUACUGAUAUGCGAGCCAGCUGCUUACGCAAUUGUUCGACCAUGCUAUACUCGCUACGCUUUAGGAACUUUAGAAAUUCCUUAGCCUCCUCUUCAUUUACUGACUCCUUGACAGGUAUUUCAGCCUCUUUCUUCUUCUCUGUACUAACAUCCUUUGUUUUUGUGAGCUCCUCUCUAAUACCCACCAUACCAUACCUUUUCCCACUCUGUGUAUGGGAACCUUCAAUUUGUACAUCCCUAGACGUACUGGCUACAUUAUCCUUUUCCGGCAUUGAUACCUGACAAUUAUAACUCCAUGGUACCUUCUUGUUAUCCUUAUAAGGAAAAGACUCAGGUUUAUGGAUAAUGACUUUAGGCACUGUUUGUGCCACCAUUUCAUUAUUCCCCUGCAUGGAAAUAAUAAUCCUUGGCCGACUAGUUCUUUGCUGUUCAUCCUCCAGCACACAUAUUUGUUUUUCACAAGAGUUAUCCUCAAAAAUUUGUAGCUCUUUAUUGUCUAUAAAGUCUUGCACCAAGGCCUUGAAAUCUUCGCAAUCUUCAUGGAACUCACCAUAGUUCCUUAUUUCUUCUCUCUUAUUUUUAGAGGUUAACAUACCUCUCUUCAUCAUCUCCUCCCAAAUCACUCUCAUAGGCAUCUUUACCUCGGCAACAUCUUCUUUUAUUCUUCUCUCACUGGCUUCACCAAUGAUAUUCACUCCUUGGUCACCAUGAUUUGGCAACGGGUUUUCAGUACUAGGGGUAUUGUCAAACUUCACUACCCCCACCUCAAUAAGCCUCUCCACGGCUUUCUUGAAACCAGUACAAUUUUUGAUCGAAUACCCUGGUAUUCCAGCAUGGUAUUCACAUCUGGCAUUUGCGUCAUACCAUUUGGGAUAUGGGGGCUGUAGUGGUUUCAAAUGGAAAGGAGAAAUAGCAUGUGCAUCGUAUAAGCUUUGAUAGAGCUCGCGAUAUGCCACGGGAAUAGGUGUGAAUUGCAUCCUUUUAGUGUUCUGCCUGGUUCUCGACUCUUUCUUUUGAGAAAUUUGUUCCUCAACCGCAGCCAUUUCAGACUGACCAACUGUGAUUGCCCUCGUGUUAUAGGUGCUUGUAUUAUUCACUUCCCCAUCCUUUCUCCCUAGGGCCGAUCUUUUGGCUAUUUCCCCCUCAAUUUUGCCACCUCUUAUGGCAUUCUCGAUCAUCUCUCCCGCCAUAACUAUAUCCGCAAAGCUUUUAGUAGUACUCCCAAUCAUAUGUGUAAUAAAUGGAGCCUUCAGAGUGUUGAUGAACAACAUGGUAGUCUCCUUCUCCAACAAUGGUGGUUAAACUUGCAUUGCCACUUCUCUCUAUCUCUGUGUGUAUUGCCUAAAGUUUUCAUUAGGCUUUUUCUCUAUAUUUUGCAACGUAAUUCUAUCUGGAGUCAUGUCGGUCACAUGAUUAUACUGCUGCAUAAAGGCUUGGGUAAGAUCCCGCCAUGAACUUAUUCUGGUUCGGCUUAGUUGAUUGUACCACCUGGUUGCUGCUCCUACUAAACUGUCUUAGAAACAAUGGAUCAACAGCUGAUCAUUGUUUACGUACCUGGUCAUUCUUUUACAGAACAUCAUGAUGUGGGCCUCUGGACAAGUAGUCUCGUUGUACUUUUCAAACUCCGGCAUUUUGAAUUUAUGAGGAAGCACCAAGUCUGGGACCAAACUCAAGUCUUUGGCUUCGACUCCAUGAUGCCCAUCAGCACUUUCUAAAGCUUUAAAUUUCUCCUUCAGCCAUCGACAACGUUCUUCUAACUGUUUUGUAGCUUCAGCUCUCAAAUCUUCCUUUUCAACUAUAUCCAAAUCAGGAGUGAAAGGAUUGGUAGGGUUAUCACCUAAAUUGAAUCCCGAGCCAGUUGGGAAAUUUAUAGGGAUCCCAGCAUCAACUUGACCCUGUUGAGGCCUUAUUGUGACAGACGGCCCUCGAGGAUAUGCCUCGAGUUGAGUUCGUAUGUUAGGUGGAGUGAAACCAGGAGGAUGACCCUCAUUCUCCUCUCCAACAAUUUCCAUGGGAGCCUUUCCCUUAUCAGUGGCCCUCAGUAGUUGAGCCAUCUCAGCCAUCACGUUCUUCUGAGCUUCCAGCAUUUGCUCCCUCAUGUCAUUUUGCAUUUUUUCCAAUUGCUCUUGCAAUUGGUCUUGCAUGUCUUUCUGUAGUUGUUCAAAUCUUUGGUCCAUAUUCUUCGACUUAGCGCGUGUACCAUAGGGAUGUGUUGCUUCCAGAUUUUCUUUUUCUUUCUCUCUUUCUCCCUAAUAAUUUUAACUAAUUAGGGUCUUUCUAUAAACUUGAAUGCAUAUGAUGUAAUGAAAUGCAAAUGCAUGAAUGCAAAAAGAAUGUCGAUUCUGACUCAGUUUCAUUUUAGAAAACGUUAUUUAAGGAACAAAAAUCUUUUCAUAAAACGGAUUACAAAUACACUUUUUCCCGUAGGCCUAGAGUCUUAACCCUAUCUAAUAACAAUGCUAACUCUCAUCCUUUGUCUGACGAUGACUCAUACAUCAUACUCAGCGUUCUAGCCUGUGUUGCCAACUCCUGCAAGUGUUCAGCGACCUCUCGAAUCUGAACUAGGGCCUCUCCCAUAACAUGAUGUCUAUCUCCUACUUGACUCUGAAGAUGGUGAAGUUCUCCCUUCCACUGUUCUUCUCUUACCUCAAGUUGUUCAAUCCGUAGCUCACAGCCCUGUAGUGCUGCUUCUAACUCUCCAAGGUUGUGCUUCAUUUUCUCAAUCUUGUCCAAGCUUGCCUUUAACUCGAUCGCAGGGUUACGACUUCGAUAAUGAUGAAGGAAUCGUCCAAGCUCUGUCACCUUAACUUUUAGUCCUUGAUUUUCCUUUUCUAGGGCCUGAUUACGCGACUGUAUCUCUUGGAACUUCUUCUCCCAAUACUCGGCCUUCGCUUUUUCCUCUUGGGAUCUCAUGUUGCCACUGCUCUGAAGAUCUCCCUAAUCCAACCCUUUUCAACGGUACUUGGGCUUUCUUUAAUGUGUCUUCAAGUCAUCUCGAUCUUCCUCUUUUCCUUUUUCACCUUCUCGACUUUUAUCUUUUGAACAUUGACAUCGAGACUCAAACACAUUAUUUCCUCUUCGAGCUUCUCCAUCAUCUUUUCCAGCUCCAAAUUCCUUCUCUUGAACUCUUGUUUCAUAACCUCCAACUCUGAUGGAAUCACUCGUAAGCUCUCCUCUAAUGAUCGAGUUAUUCCCAAAUUCGGCCUAGGAACAUUAUUGUUGACUCUCUUACUAAACCACCCCUUAUACUCAAGGGUUGACGCCGAGCCUUCAGCCAAGAUCUUCAUACAGAAAGGCUUCUUCCAAGCCUCAGAAAUCUCUCGCAUCCUCUUCUUGUAGUGAUAUCCUUUGUAAGAGAAAUCACUCUAAGCUAAACCCUGUGUAGCUGGUAUAAACUGCCUUACUCGAUACUGCCUUAGACCUAGCAACGGUGUAUAUCCAAAGCUCCCCAAAUUCCUGGCAAAGGGACCCAAUCAAAACUGCCACAUAGGUAAAGGACUUCACUAGGAACCAACCAGGGAGCCUUCCACAUAACAUCCUCUUCUCGAAGAUUCUAAAGAAUGUCUAUCCACCUCUCCUCCGAAAUUUCAUCUCUCCUAGGCAUUUCUACUGUUUCCUUUAAGGGAGAAUAACUCUCAAAGAAAACUCAGCAAGGAACCUUAUCUAACUUCUAGAAGUGACUAUGAAACCAAACCAACAGCAACUGUGCACAUCCAAUGAAUCUUCCUUCACCAGCUCUUCUACAUGUGCUCAAUGAUCUUAUCGUCUCAGCUAAGAUCGCAGGCACUGGUGUGUUCUGUUUUCCAAGUCGAUCGAAUAAAUCCGCAACCGCCUCAUCUAUAUGCCCCAAUGCCUUUGGGAAAAUCACCAUGACAUAAAUACUCAAAGCCAGGACGUCGACCCUUUUCUUCACGUCUGGAUGCGUAGAUAUCAAAUCCCUCAAAAUAGCCCAUGGAAUGCACUUACUGUCACCCUUUUGCUACACACGAGCUAAAGCCCACUGCUCACUCAUCCCAGUAAUCAUUACCAACUUUUUCGCAAAAGUUGGAAGGCUAGCAGGCCUAACAUAAGCCUUGUAACCUUGAAUCCUCUGGAAACGUAGUAAAGUUGUAUACUCCUCUAAGGUGGGUACAAGAUCAACAUUACCAAAUGUAAAGCAACUAUAAGCAGGGUUCCAGAAUUGUACCAUGGCUCGAAACAAGUGCCUAUCUACCUUGACGUCUAGCAAAUAGGGGAGGUCUUCGUAACUCUGAUAGAAGAGCUGCUUAGCCUCGUCAUCCCAUUGGGCCCAAAUAUCUCUCAACUCUCGCAAUCAUUCUGCGUCGAAUUAACACGAGUGAAGUCCCAUAACUCUGGUGUAUACCCCUCAAUGAUACUAUCUCCUUUCUCUAACUGGGUUUUCUCUGACUAGGUACAGACAGAAGCAUUGUCCUCCACUUUAUUAAGGUAUCCAUUCCUCAUUACAAAACUUUCUAAUCUAGAAAUCGAGCCUUGAAUCGACACCUCUAAAUGCGAAAUGACAUGCAAUGACAGCAAAAUAAAAAACAAUAAGUCAGUAUCAAUAUAUAAAAAGAUAAACAAAUAUUUAUAAGGGUAAUUUUCUAAAGGUUAUCACUAUUAUCCCUAGGAUAAGCACUUAAAAGUUCACUAUAUGAGUUUUGGUUCUAAAGAAAAGGUACCUGAACCAGCAGAUUCCUCGGUCCUCACCCACUAUAGGCUCAUAUAGACCAAGUUCAAUUCAAAGGGACACUUUUCCCUAUGGCUAUACGGAGAUGAAAAUCUCAAGAAGACAUAGGUAGAGUAUCCCGGAAGCAAUCCACUAGCUCAUACGAAGGUAAAAACCUUACGAAAGCAUAGAUUCUCACUCCCACUUAAGGGUAUGACCACAACGGUCGUGCAAAUGCAAUGUAUAGCAAUAAAGUAACAAACAUAUACAGCAAACACAUGUAAAAAGAUCAAAUUUUAAAAGUUCCAAACUUCCGAAAUUAAGACAAAAAUACUCAAUUUCUUGGCUUGACUCUCUUAAGUCCCUAGCGGAGUCGCCAAGCUGUCGAAACCAAUUUUUUAAAGGGAUUUUCAAAAAACGGGGAUCGACUUUUGAAAAACGAAAACAGGAGUCGCCACCAAUCUUUUAAAGUGUGAUUGGAUCACUAUAUAAAACGUUUUGGUCUACGAAAUUAUGAGAAAAUAGGUUCGGGAGUCAGUUACGUACGAGGAAGGAUUAGCACCCUCGUAACGCCCAAAAAUGGUACCAAAUUGAAUAAUUUUGUCUUAGUGUCAGAAGUUUGAAAGAUUUUAGAAAUGAGAUUCCCUUCAAACUGUAAUGUUUUAAAUUUAAAAGAAUCAAGAUUCUUUUGUUUUAGAAGAGUAUAAAUAUCAUAUCCAGCAUGAUUGUAUACGAUAUCUUUAAUCUUUCAUAACUAAAAUCCUCUUGCGAUUUGUGAAACCCGUUUAAAAGGAUAUUUUAAAUAUUUAGACAAACGGGAAAUCGCAACCCAGCAUGUUAGGGCACUAAUUCCCGAAUUCGUAAAUAUCAAAACAUUGCCUUACUUCUAAAAAUUCCUUUUGAAACGAGAUGUUUUUAUUUUGAAAAAUGAUGACGUUUUUUUACAAGAUAUCAACAUUAAACAAGCCUAACUUCAUAAUGCAUACUUUAUCAUUUUAUGCAAAUAUAGUAUAGAGAAUAAUAAAUUACACAAUACACAUUAUCACUUUAUGCAUGGUUCUACAUAACUAAUAUUCAUGCACAUUUGUUACAUGUAAAAUAUAAAAAAAUGGUAAAAUAUAUCAAUACAUAAUAAUAUUUCAUGCAAAAUAUAUUCUUAAAAGGACAAUAUAAAAUAAUCAAUUAGAGAUAAAACAAAUGAUAUGCAAAAUUUAACCUACUAAACAACAAAAGAAAACUAAAAAACUAAGCAAAUUAAAAUGUAUAAAAUAUAAAUCAAAUAAAAGUAAGCUAUUUAAAAUAAUAUAAGAAUAAUAAAAGAGAACCCCCUUUUUAUUAAAAUGAUAUGUACAUAUAGAUUAAAAUAUAGGAUAUAAUAACUUAAUAUAUAAAAAUGUACUAAAUAUUGAUAUUACACUUAUUUACAAAAAAUUUAAAAAUGUAUAUAAUUAAUAAGUAAUAUAAUAAUGUAUAUUUUAUAAUAAAACAAAGGUAAUGUAAGGAAAUACGGUAAAAAUAUAUAUAUAAUAAAUUUAUGAACAAAAUACAUAUAUAAUGAUAUAAACUAUAUGAUAGAUGAAAUAAAUAAUAAUAAGAAUGAUAUAUUAAGUAAAUUUACAUACAAAAAUACAAUAAAAUAAUUAAUAUAUAUAAUAUAAAAAUAUAUAAUAUAAUAUAAAUGGAAUAAAUAACAUACAAUAAAAAUAUGACAUAUAAUAAAAUUUAUAAAAUGUAUAUAAUAUUAAUCAUAAAUAAAAUAAUAUAUUAUUAUAUAUAUAACUAAUGUUUAUAAAUAUAUAUAUAUAGUAUUUAAAAUGAAAAUGAAAAAUUAAAAUAAUAAAAUGAAAAUGAAAAAUUAAAAAUGCGGAAGAACCUAGAAGGGAAAUAUCCAUUUUAAUAAAACGCGCGGAUCCUCCCCGGGUAAACGGGUCAACGCGCGGAUCCUUUGCUUUGAAAUGACGUCGCUUUUAAGCUUAUUGAAUUAAACUAAAACGGCGUCGUUUUACCAGUGUUAAAAAAGUAAAAAAAAAACUUAAAAUCUUCAUUUCAAAAACUUCAUAAUAAAAAAGAGAGAGAGAGCUCUAAAAUUCUCUCAGAUCUUCGGCCAGUGGCCAUCCUAGCUCGUCCUGGAGCACCAUCACCUUUGGCCACACGCGCUUCACGCGUCACCAUCUGAGCCACCGUAUCCGGCGGUUAGGGCCUUCAAGGCCGCCAUUUUUCACAGCGAAUCCAAAAGGGAAUCUCUUUUUUUUUUAUCUUUAAAACGUAUUUUGUUAUAUACUUUAUCAAAAAGAAAAUAAAUAAUGAAAAGAAAAUUAAAAUAUCACCUCUGUUCUUCUGUUCUUUCCUUUGAUUUUUUUGUUUUUUUGUACAUAUUAGUAAAAAAACGUCGUUACAUUUUAGAAAAAGAAGGGGUUUUUAUAACCCUUUGUUACAUUUUAGGAAUAGAAAUCAUUUGAUUUCUUUUCAAAUCUGUUUCUUGGUUGCUGUUGGUUCGCUCUUCCUUUUUGCAAGUAUCUAGCGAGGAAAUCAAUGGGCCAGGAUGAUAGGCCCUGAUAACGACGGUGCUGGCACUGAUCUGUGUUUUAUUCAGUUUCAACUACGGCCAGAUUUGAGGCCUGGAAUCACGGCGUCGAUGGGGGUAGAUGGAACGACCGAGGUUGAAGAGGUGUGACUGAUGGGGUGCUUACGGCGCGAAGCUUCUAGAAACCCUAGGGUUUCCAGAUUCUGUUUAGGCAUUGGGCCUUGUUUAGGUGGGGUUUUGUUUGGGUUUGGGUGUAACAGGUUAAUAGAUUUUGGGCCAAAGGUUUAGGCUGAUUGGGUUGUAACUGGGUACUGGGUUUUGGGUAGUUUAGCUGGGUUAC